This 729-nucleotide long non-coding RNA is filed under the name Crocodylus porosus (Australian saltwater crocodile). Its description in RNAcentral is "lncRNA (ENSCPRG00005008362.1)". The record is from RNAcentral. Lineage: Eukaryota; Metazoa; Chordata; Crocodylia; Crocodylidae.
CCUUAGUGCCUGUUAAAUCUGGACAUUGAAGCACCAGGCAAACCUGGGCUAAUGAAGCCUCAACACCCCAAAGAUGCCUUGUUUAGUGCAGUUAUGGAAUCCCCCUGUGACAUGUCUGUGGUGCAGGUUGUCCAGAGAAGUGGACAGAGAGAACAAAGAGGACAGAGAUGCAACUGGACCUGGAGAUAGCGGGAAGGACUACAACCGGAUCAGCAGCAGGGAAGUGACAGUGACAGCAACAAGGACAGUGAAUGAACUGAGACUGUAAACCCCAAAUUGGGGGUUGGACUAAAGGGCUACGAUUUGGAUAGGUAAGGGUGGAGGGAGGGUCUGCAGGGGCGUAGAGGAUUGGAUGCAUUUAUUGUAACGGGAAGUGCAGGUUUCUUAAUGCAGUUUUAAGAUGUGUGAUGGAAAGCUUAUAACCAAGAAUGCAUAUAUAUAACUCUCUAUAUAUAGAAAUAUAUUUUGAUUAAAAAAAAAAAAAAAGUCUCACUGAGAAUCCCACCAGCCUUGUUUUCCUGUGUCCCCUGCACCUGCUGGGACAGACUUCACCUUGCCCACUCCCGGGCACUUGAAUUCUUGGUGCUUUCAGUGCCUUCUCCAUUAACUCACAAGGCCCAGCUGGAUGCCUGUUGUCAAAUGAUUUCCAUGAUACAAAGAAGAAAAGCUAAAUUCUUUUAAUCCUUUCAGGGUGUCGAGCCAGCUCAGAAAAAGCCACCUCCUUUGAGC